Molecule: long non-coding RNA, 1169 nt
Filed under: Pongo abelii (Sumatran orangutan)
Lineage: Eukaryota; Metazoa; Chordata; Mammalia; Primates; Hominidae
Description: lincRNA
Source: RNAcentral
GGCCAGGCACUACUCUGUCCCAACAAUAAGCCCUGUACAUUGGGAAAGGUGCCGAAGACAUGAACUUUGGUCUUCUCUGCAAUCCCUCUGGAGCAUUCAGUGACAACGUCGACUUUGAAGUUGCACUGACCUGGCCAGCCCUGCCACUUACCAGGUUGGAUAACACUAACAAAGUUGACCUUAGAAUUGGAGUGCCCGGGUUAGAACCUUGCUGGUACCACCUGCUUACUGCAUGCUUCUGAUGUGAGUUCAGGAGAAGCCACUGGCAAGGACAGCAAAGAACAGGAGAACACUCUAGCUUCCCUGAUAGCAUUCAAGGUGCUGUCCAAAGCUGAAAAAGUUUUGGAAGCCCUCCUAAGCAGCUGCCAGACCCUUUUUUGGCCAGAGACAGGAUCUUACUCUGUUGCCCAGGCUGGAGUGCAAUAAUGUCACCAUGGCUGACUGUAACCUGGAACUGCUGGGCUCAAGGGAUCCUUCCAGCUCAGCCUCCCAAGUAGCUAGGAGUACAGUUGGAGGAACUGGUUAUUUUCCCAGGGCUUUGACUGAAAUGGCCUUGUGAAUGGUUCCAGGAAAGCCAAUUUUGGAGACCCUAUGUGGAUGAUGAUGCUUGCUGUACUUUCUGUGGGUAAUCGGGCCAAGUAUAUGGGACUGAAGCUAAUUUUGCAGGUGAGGAAAUGGAGGUCCAGAGAGAAAAGUGACUCACCCAAGCUGAAAACAAUUGCAGGAAGAAAAGCUGUUAGGAAUCUUGGAGUACACUAAAGAUGAGGAACUGAGUCACUGCAAUGCCAAAUGUAACAAGCUGUGGGUCAAAAUUUGGAUGUUUGCAUUGGAAAUUAUUCUGAAGCCACAGACAGGGCUAAAAGAGUCUAGAAUGUCCUACUAGCUGUUGGAACGUGCUGGAGUUCUAAAGGCAUGCAAAGUAUUGAAUGUGCUUGACCGAUGGACACAGCAGGUAUUUGAAGAGUUUUGAUGCUUCCUUUCUGUUUUCAGCGCUAUUUUUUUGCUUUAUUUCUUUUAAAAAACUUUCCCCACAGAGGCUAUUUAUUACACAGCAGCAGCCAGCAUGCACCAAGCAGAAUUGCUUUUCAUAAUAAACCUAUUCAUCUUCUGGUAUGUCAGAAAUUUCUCAAAUUGAUACUUAUAAUAAAUAUGAUUAAUAACACAUUGUA